This 253-nucleotide ribosomal RNA is filed under the name uncultured bacterium. RNAcentral's name for it is "partial 16S ribosomal RNA". It matches the Rfam family "Bacterial small subunit ribosomal RNA", at positions 524 to 776 of the family's 1533-position model. The record is from RNAcentral.
UACGUAGGUGGCAAGCGUUGUCCGGAUUUAUUGGGUUUAAAGGGUGCGUAGGUGGCCCUGUAAGUCAGUGGUGAAAUAUCUCAGCUUAACUGAGAGGGUGCCAUUGAUACUGCAGGGCUUGAGUACAGAUGAGGUAGGCGGAAUUGACGGUGUAGCGGUGAAAUGCAUAGAUAUCGUCAAGAACACCGAUAGCGAAGGCAGCUUACCAAGCUGUAACUGACACUGAGGCACGAAAGCCAGGGGAGCAAACGGG